This 73-nucleotide transfer RNA is filed under the name Stegodyphus mimosarum. It matches the Rfam family "tRNA". Rfam says of the family: Transfer RNA (tRNA) molecules are approximately 80 nucleotides in length. Their secondary structure includes four short double-helical elements and three loops (D, anti-codon, and T loops). Further hydrogen bonds mediate the characteristic L-shaped molecular structure. tRNAs have two regions of fundamental functional importance: the anti-codon, which is responsible for specific mRNA codon recognition, and the 3' end, to which the tRNAs corresponding amino acid is attached (by aminoacyl-tRNA synthetases). tRNAs cope with the degeneracy of the genetic code in two manners: having more than one tRNA (with a specific anti-codon) for a particular amino acid; and 'wobble' base-pairing, i.e. permitting non-standard base-pairing at the 3rd anti-codon position. The record is from Rfam by way of RNAcentral. Lineage: Eukaryota; Metazoa; Arthropoda; Arachnida; Araneae; Eresidae.
GUCUUCGUGGUGUAAUGGCCAGCACACUCGGCGCGUAUUCGAGAAGUCCAAGGUUCAAAUCCCAGCGAGGGCA